UCAGACCAGGCGUGGUGCGCCAGUGACGGCCGCGCCCCCUUUGGAGCGCAUUUCUAUUGGUAGCGGCGGCUGACCGUCAGCGCGCCCCUUCCGGUUGCCCGUCCCGAUUGGCUCCAGAGGCGAUCCGUCGGCUCGGGCGGCGGAUGCUACACUCGGCUGCUGCGGGGUGGGGCACGCGGAGGAAGUCGGCGGCUGUCAGAGAUCACGGUCCAGCCUGGAGGAGGAGCUGGGUGGUUGGAGACGCUGGGCUGUGGGGCCGGCGGCGGUGGCGGCAGCGGCAGCAGCAGCCCCAGUCCGGAGCGCCAUAUCCUGUCAGAAAGGCUUCUUGAGACUCUGCCCAGUUGCCCUCUGCCCAAUUUCUGUUGCUCUCCGGCCUUUACCGACUCUUGCCUAGGUUGGUACAGUGAUUUUAUGACUUGUCUUCCUGACAACUUGCAUGUCUGUUCGUCCUCUGUGAAUGACUAGGUAAUGACUCUUGUUGAAAACUGGGUGAAACCUUGAAUGGCCUACAUGAUAAAGUGCAGUCUCUUUAGCAGUGUGGUUAAGGACCUGUGUAGUGGUAGCUCCAGAUUCUUCCAGAUGUGUCUCCCAUCAUUCUUCAUCUUGGAACCUCGUGUUCUGACAAAACCCACCUUUUUGGCCACACCAAAGCUUUGUUAUUUCUCCAUAUUUUUGCACAUAUUGGUUUUUCUGCCUAACUGAAUCCCAUUCAUUUUUCAAGGCUCAGCUCUUUAUAAAACCUUUUGGAAGUUCUUCAACUCAAUGUACUGUUCCAGUUCUUUAACUCUUAUUUGCUAUUUAUUUGUCUGCUUUGGUUUAUUACCAUGCCAUUUCAUGGAUGCAUUUAUCUAAUAUUUACAGUGCCUAUGUUUAAUAAUCUGUGUUUGUUUUGAUAGCCACCUUGUGUUCAGGCUUAUUCAUUUGUGUGUCCUCAGUGUCUAAAAUGAUUUUUAACACCAAGGAUACUGCAAGAGAAAGCCAUCAUGGAGUUUAUAAUUAAUCUGGGGCAGAGUAGACACUGAAAAGUGGUUAUGGAAUCAAUUGUCAAUAGAGAAAGCCUUUAAAUAUAUACAAAUAUGUCCUGGACAGUAAAUAGUAAUUUCUUUUUUUGCCACUUCUUCCUAUCCUUGCAAGAAACAUACAGUGUGAAACCCUUGCUCACUAUAAAGAAUGAGUGCUGUCUUUCAGGGUGUGAAAUGGACAUUUCAGGUUUAGAGAUAAACAGGAUACGGUGGCUGGCAAGUGGCUGAGUCAGCAGUGAAUACCCAGGGAAAGAGCUACAAGAGGCAGUUUGUUUUCUUUCUACAUGUUUUUAGAGCUAAUGCGAACAAAAUAUUUGGAAGUUUUUCCCAUUUUGAGUCUACAGUACUUAGUGGUAUUCUCCUUAUAGUUACAUCUUCAUGUUGCGUGCGUGACCUAUCUCCCAGAUGUUUAUGGUGGUUCCACUUUCUCUGGGCUCAAUUUUCACAUCUAUAAAAUGGGUUGGAAAGUGAGAUUAGGCCUAGGAUUUCAGAAAUAAAUGGCAUCCACAGCAAAGAAGAACAUGAGAAGGAAAGUGAAAUGUACAUCCCACACAUAGCUGAGCCACAACUUACCAUCAUCCAGGUUACAUCAAGUUACUUCUCACAGGGAAAUUUUGUUAGAAAUUCCUGAAACUGUGAUAUGAUCCAGCUUUGGGCAAGCAUUUUUUUUUUUCUCUUUUUAGAAUGAAAAUCUGUGCUACAAUCAUUGCAGAUUCUGCAUCCUUGCUGUUUUCUUUGUGGAACAUUUCUCAUUGAUUCUUUUUGUAUUGAAAAUAUAUUUUUAUUUUGCUUACCUAGACAAUUUCAAAAUACAAAUCAUAUAUAAUAUGCAGAUAUAACAGAAGAAUAAAUAUAAACGCAUGUGUAUGUAAAAUGUCACUGAGUUCAGUUUUCUUUCUGAAUCCUUAACUCAAGAGGAUUCAGUGGGCUCAAUAUGUCUUCUGCCUUGCUUGGCCUACUUCCAAUCAUGCAGAGCACCUAUUGUCAGAAUUUUCUGGAGCUCAAAUGCAGAUGCCUUCCCUGUGGACAUCUCUCAAGUCAGAAGGAGCAUUGUGCAAUGGACAGCCUUGGUUGUAUUACUAUCCUCUCUAAACUACAAGUCAGGAUGACGCAUGGACUAAACAGGCCAAUAAAGUAGCCUCAAUAAAUGUCAUAAUGAAAUACAAACGCUGGCCUGAAGCCAUCAGCCUUUCCUGAGAGAGCUUUACCUGCUUGGACUUUGGGAAGCUGGCCCCUGAACCUGAGUUGGCAGCAGGUGGGUGGAUGGAUGGCAUCCUCCUGAAUGCUCAGUGAUCUCCUGGCUUCUACGGCCCCCCAGGCCAGGCACAGUUAGAUCACAUCAGGGACGUGUGGUUAUCCUGUGGCUUUUUCUGGGCACCCAACUCCUCGAGUCUCUUCCUCCUUAGGUAAACAGAGGUGGUUCCUUUGCUCCAGACUUAGUUGGGCUGGAACACCCCACCACGAGUUUCAGAGGUCAGGUGGUAGUUUUCUGUGUCUUCCUCUCUGCUACUGGUGCGCCCAGUCAUUGGCAUUGCUUCUGUGGUUUCCAUUUCAACACCAGGUGGCUGGGAAGUUUGCCUGCAAAGCAGAUGAUUCACACGUUUUGAAAAGAGGAGAGGGUUGCCCUCAAAUCAGCAGAUAACUUCCUAUUGAACAUGGGUGUCCAGCACAGUGUGGAAGGCAUUAGCAAACACAUGCCCUGCCUGCAGGAAUCACAAAAUACUCGGUCUUUGAUGGUGGUAUUGCUCAAAGAUCUAGAAAACCUAAAAGGCUUAAACUUCCAGAUGGAAUUUAAAUACCAUAUUUUCAUCCACCAGAUUUACCAGUGCUAUUGGGGCAGUUCACGUCUCUCCCACAAGCUCCUCAUCCCCACCCCUUGUUGAAAAGCACUUCAAAUGGCAGGGACAGGAAAAGGGAAGUGUAGCCAGGAGGCUGCUCUCACCACACUUGGUCAUCUACAUCAUCCAAGCUCAUGAAGGUUUUUAAACGGUUCUUGGUGCUUAGUAAGUGUUAGAAACAGACUAAUCAUCUCUUGAAUAAUGAGAGUGAGGAAGGCACAAUAUUUUGAUUACACAUUUGUGUGCCUGUCAUGAAGCUGCCUCUCUGAGUAGCUGGGUCAGCAGCACCUUCUUCUCUGGCUUACAGAGUCUCUCUUCUACAGAGAAGCAACUUUUUAGGCCAUUUUAAGGGAAGUGAUUUGAGCCCCUUCGAGUGAAAGCUUGGCUAUAAAUCAGAAUCUUAGGCCAAUUUGCUAAAAGCCAGUUUGUUGACUAGGAUAUCUGAUAACCAAUUUGCAAAAUGCAGUUUACGGGAAGAUUUAAUUGACCAAAUGACCAAAUAAUCAUAUUUACCAGAUUUACCAAACCUUUUAAAAAUACAUUUACAAAAAUAUUUAAUAUAGUCAGUAAACACUGGUAUUUCCUCUUGUGAGUACAUUAUUAGCUGUAUAUACCAAACUUACAAAUUCUUUUUAAGAAUAUAUUUUAAUGUAUUUAUUACAAAGAUGACAUAUAGAUUCAUUUUAAUAUAGCUAGCUAUAAUCUAAGAAUAUAACUCUACAUUCAGCUUUUUAUAUGGAAAUUAUUCAGCAAUGAUAUUUUGAAAAUCCUUUUGAAAGUAAUUUCAUCUGUAUUUUCAACAUUUGGCAUUUAAGAGGUUUUUUAGAUAAAUUUUUGAGUAAUUUAUUAACCUUAGUUCAUUAACUUCUGAGCUACUACCUAAGAUAUUGAUGGCAUUUUUUAUUGGUUGGUCUGGUAUUAACAGCUUUUGAAGAUUUAUGUGAACUUUUAAAGACUGGUUUUCAUUUUUGGCUUUACGAUAGAAUUUCAUGGAAUGUUCAUUUUGUAAAAAUUAGGCUCAAAGUGUCCUAUACUUUUAUAGUGACAUCAUAUUUAAUAUUUUAUAACUAGUCAGUAAAAUUUUAGUUUCAACAGACCCAGAGCAACCACAUCGAUCUGGAAGGGUGAGAUCUUGGUCACCACCUGAAAGAAGUACACAAUAAGGCUAGCACUGCUGCUUCAGUCUUUAGUGAAAAAAGGAUCAAAAUGCCUAAAGAUUGGAAAAAUAAUUGAAAAAUUAUUUAUUAUUUAAUAUAGUCAGCAAAUUGAUAUUAUUCUCUGUAAGCAUAUUUAUUGGCAGCAUACAACCAAUUUGUACACUUUUUAACAAUCUAUUUUAAUGUAUUUGUCAUUAAAAAUGAUCCUUAUACAUACCAUCCAGUGGCAGAAACUUGUCAUAAAUGUUGAAAUGCAGAAUUUCAAUUAUUUGACAAAAUUAAGGUUAACACGAUUGAGGAUAAGAAAAUAUACACAAAAUUAAGAGUGCAUUCAAGGAGAGUAUACUAUAUUCAUGAAUAUAUCACCUGAAGAAUUGGCACACAGUGCAUGUUCAUCAGACUGGCCACUAGGGGCACUCUUUCUUUCUAAAUUGAGUAUUGGUAGAUUGGCCUCCUGCAGCAUUAUCUGCCGCCCCCAUCCCACCUCCCUCCCCCCCCCCCCCAGUUCCAACCAGUGGCCUGAGAACUGUGUGACAGAUUAAGGACCCUCUAGGGCUGGCUCAGUGCUCAGCUCUAAUGCUCUCUUUGGCUAAAACAGAGGUGGAUGAGUGUGAGAAUCUAGUCACAAAGGGAUUCUUCCUUUGAGAAAUCAUCCCAGAAUCAUGAUGAUACGGCUAUUUAUUCUUGGGAAGGAGAGAUUUAGUCCUGUGGUUUCUGCUGUGCUACUCACCUUGGUCUGAGGCAAUACGCCAGGAGGAACCCCACACACACUACACCCAGCAGCGAGACAGAUGUGGAGAUGGCCACUGUAAAAGAACAGAACAAAGCUGGAGCCAUGCUGAGAAUCCUAAGAACUCAUUCAUUUCUACGCACUGGAAAAUCCUGUAUGUCCUACAUUCUUGCAGAGAAAUCCAAAUGCUUUCCCAAUAGGCUCACCAUUAUUAACAUUUCUUGAGGGCCUCAUAGCUUGCUCUACUCUAUUUCUGGGCAAAAAUAUGCCCUCUUCCCUGUGGACACUGCCAAUGCAACCCAUCCCCAGCUGUGUUACCCCACACCCCUGCUCCUGAUGCUUGUUCUUGCUGAGUAAAGUGACUGUGAGCAGGGAUGGGUAGGAGGAAAAGGAGGCGCCUCCAAGCCAAAGCUGGGUGAUAGGAGGUAGAGAGGAGGAGGAGAAGGAGGGGGUGGUGGCUAGCCCUUCCAGAAGAGCAAGAGUUCCUUCCUGCCACUGAAACCAAAGUGAAAAGAAGAUGUCUCUGUUCUUCAACUUCACAGAUUUAAGAGCUGCAUGCAGUGCCACUUUCCUUCCAAUUCCAUCAUCUUUUUAGAUUUUUAAAAAAAUUAUUAAACUUAAUUUGAAAGGCAGAGAGACAGAAACAGAAAGAUCUCUCCUCCACUAGUUCACUUCCCAAAUGCACCCAUGUAGGACACCUGGAAGAAGCUCCUGGCUCCUGGCUUCAUAUUCGCUCAGCACCAGCUGUUGUGGCCAUUUGGGAAGUGAACCAGUGGAUGGAAGAUUCUCUCUCUCUCUCUCUCUCUCAUUCUCUCUCUCUCUCUCCUUCUGUAUUUCAAUAGUUAAAAUAAAUCUUAAAAAAAUGAUUGGGCUCCUACCACCCAUUUGGGAGACCUGGAUUCAGUUCCUGGUCCCCUCCACUGGCAAUUGCAAGCAUUUGGGGACUUGGCCAGUGGAAGGGACUGGAUCUCUUUCUCUUUCUCUCUCUAGUAGGUAAAUAAAAGUUUUUAAAAAAAUCCGGUUGAGAUAGACAUGAAUCCCAAUCUCCAACAAGCCUUGUGAGUGUCAAUAUUGCACAGAACGGGCUAGAGAAAUAUACAGUACACCAGAGUACUAAUGAUGGCAUUACAUAUCAUCUUUAAUUUUAAACUUCUUUCUCAUUUUUAAUGACUAAUCAGAAGAUCAAAACUAUAUAAACAAAGCAAGCAACAUUUAAGUAACUAAAAUCAGCAUAGAAAAGUUGCUACUGUAACAGAAAACAUGCAAAAGUAAGCAAAGAUGUUUUGAGCUCUCAGACUUAACAUUAAUCAUCAUUAUGACUUUAAAAAAAGAAUUGUUUUCAGAACUUUUGUACUCUAUGGGAAGCUAUGUCUUCAUGUUCACUAACAGGUGUGGCAUGCAUUUACUGCUAGGAGUGUUUACUGGAAAGGGCAAGUUGAUGAAAGCUGUAGCUCUGCUUUCACAAUGCUUCCUCCUGGUUCCUGUUAAAUGAGAAUAAAAUUUGCAGGGCUCCCGGGCCAAUGACAAAACAAAGCAAUUAGACUUAGGUGACAACCUCAGACUCUUAGCCUCUUCCUCACUUAUAGCCAAAGCAAAUUCAAUAAUGAGAUUCAAACCAAAAUCACCAAGAUAAUGAAUGAAUACAUCACUGGUCAGGUUCUCUACCCUUUUGUGUUUCCAAGGCAAUGUGGACUGCAGAAAAAGGAAAAGAAAAUUUGGUGAGAUAAAGGGGGGAGGAGAGAAAGUAGAGAGAGAGAGAAGAAAAUGUUGAUUAUGAUGCAGCAAUAGAUACCCCCCCCCCCCCCGACUUCAGUCUAUAGUCCAGACUGAGACUAGGACAGAGAAGGCAGGCGAGACUGCCAGUGGCCAGUAUUUGGCACGGAUGGUGGAAAUAUCCUCUGAAUACAUGGAGAGUAGUCAUUGCUUAGCAAUACUGACAAACUAGGCCAGUCGUGGGGUAGCAAUCACUGUGACACAGCGCUGGUGUACCUGCGGCAAAUGAAGGCAGUUUGGAUGGAACAGCAUUGCAUCAAUUCAUUACUCAGUUGAUCAAAGUAAGCCUUUAACGUUCUGUGAAUGAAGUAAAUUGGAAGGGACUUUUUUUUUUUUAUGAGAAAUCCGCAUUUCAUAGCAGCAAAGCACCAAACUAGGUCUAGAGUAGGAAAUGAGCAGAUGAGUAAGACAAGAGAUAGCUCUGUCAACAGCUGAGCAGGUUGGCUGUGGCAAGUUUAUUUCAAAUAUAGAGAAGUAGAGGAAUCCUAAUUUUGAAAAACACAUGCUUCAUUCCUAGUGUACUCAGUGAAGGUGGCAGUGUUGCACGCUCACCUUUUAUUUUAUAAUUGGGAGCCUUGAACAACAGCCUAGGUAGAGACUGGAGAAGAGAUAUUGGAAUAAUCCAACAAAGUUACUGUCAAAAAGUACUGUCAAGUGAACCAAGGGAUAUUUAAGACAAUGAAACUAUGAAUGACAUUUCUUAAAUGUUUAUUAAAUUCACUUAUCCAUUUGCUUACUCAUUCCAUAUUUAUUGAAUAUUUUCUGUUGAAUUAAAAAAGAGCAACUUUUAAAAGUAAUGAUCAUUUAAAUACCUUAUUUGAAAAACAAAUUAUGAUACUAGUGUAUCAAUGGGUUCACUGAAAAUCCAUUAAUUUAUUGAGUAACCACUAUGGUAAAGCAUUAUUAAUAUUUUCCUAGAAAGAUAAGCUCAACUGACUGCUAAUUCAUGCAGAAACAAUGACACUCAGGAGCCAGGGAGUAUCUCAGCCCAUAUAAAGUGAUGCCUGCACACUGUUGGGUGUUGGGGUAGCUGGGACAGACAUAUGUGACAUAUCGUAAUGGCACCUUCACUAAGUGCUUUCAGAAAACUAGCAUGAUUUUAAUUUCUACCUUAUGAGUAGAAAAAACUUAAAUCACAUACAAUGAAACAGAUUUUAUUUUCAUCUCUUUGCUGACAAGUACUUGGUUCUCUUCACCUAUCUUUUUAAAAUUUCUGAAGAUUUAUUUAUUCGUUUGAAAAGCAGAAAGAGAGAGAGAGAGAGAAUCUCUUACAUCUGCUAGUUCAUUCCCCAACUGCCCACAACACCCACCAGUGGGCAAGACUGAUGUCAGGAGCUAAGAACUCCAACUGGGACUCCCAUGUGGGUGACAGGGACCCAAGUACUUGAGACAUCACCCACUUCCUACCAGGUGCAUUAGCAGGAAACUGGAUCAGAAGUGGAGCAGCUGGGGCAUGAACUGGCACUCCCAUAUGAAAUGUUGGCAUACCAACCCACGGUGGCAUGACACCAGCCCCUAUCUUUUUAUUUCAGCAGUCUGAAGGAAAAAAAAUCUCACACAUGAAAUAUUUUGGUUUGUUUUUUCUUUAGUCCUCUGUAUUUUCACAAUUCCUUGCAUGCAACUAUCUUUGCCCAUUGUAGUUGUUCAGUUAAUGUUUAUUACAUUUCAGAAUUUGGGAGAUAGCAUUUUUUUUUAUUUAUUUGAGAAGCAGAGAAAAGGAGACAGACAGAGAAAUAAGCUCCCAUUUGCUGGUUUACUCCACAAAUACCUGUAACAGCCAGGGCUGAGCCAUGCUGAAACUGGGAGCUGUGAACUCAGUCCAGGUGGCAGGAACCCCAUUACUUAAGCCGUCACUGAUGCAGACCCCGAGGGUCGGCACUAGCAGGAAGCCAGAAUCAGGAGCUAAAGCUAAAUAUCAAACCCAGGUACUCCUGUAUAGGACAGGGACAUUUCAACUGUUAAACUAAACACCUAGCCGGCGCCGCGGCUCAAUAGGCUAAUCCUCCGCCUUGCGGCGCCGGCAUACUGGGUUCUAGUCCCGGUUGGGGUGCCAGAUUCUGUCCUGGUAGCCCCUCUUCCAGGCCAGCUCUCUGCUGUGGCCAGGGAGUACAGUGGAGGAUGGCCCAAGUGCUAGGGCCCUACACCCGCAUGGGAGACCUGGAGAAGCACCUGGCUCCUGCCAUCGGAUCAGUGUGGUGUGCCGGCUGCAGCGCUCCAGCCGCGGUGGCCAUUGGAGGGUGAACCAACGGCAAAGGAAGACCUUUCUCUCUGUCUCUCUCUCUCACUGUCCACUCUGCCUGUCAACAAAAAAAAAAAAAAAAGUAAAAAUAAAAAACAAAACUAAACACCUGCCCUGGAAUAGAUUUUGAUAUUUUAAUCCAGUGAAAGUCAUCAACUGGAAAAGCAGAUUAUAGAUUGUAACUCAUAAUCAAAUACUGUUUGAAAAAUCUAUGUAGCCAAAAAUGGACAUUUUUAAAAAGAGUUAUGCAUUUAUUUAAAAGGUAGAGCAACAGAGAGAAGGAGAAAUAGAGAUCUUCUGUCCACUGGUUCAGUCCCCAUGUCCAUAACAGCUGGGACCCAUCCAGGUUAAAGUCAGGAGCCAGGAACUCACUCCAUCCUGGUCUUGGAUGUGUUUGCCAGGGGCCCAAGCACUUGAGCCAUCCUCUGCUGCUUUGCCAGGUGCAUUAGCAGGGAUCAGAAGUGGAGCAGCUGAGACUCGAACCAGCAUUCCAAUAUUGAAUGCCAGCAUCGCAAGUGGUAGCUUAACCCACUACACCACAACAUUGGCCCCUGGCCCCAGAAUUUUUAUUUUUAUUUAUUUAUUUAUUUAUUUAUUUAUUUAUUUAUUUUGACAGGCAGAGUGGACAGUGAGAGAGAGAGACAGAGAGAAAGGUCUUCCUUUGCCGUUGGUUCACCCUCCAAUGGCCGCCGCGGCCGGUGCGCUGUGGCCGGCGCACCGCGCUGAUCCGAUGGCAGGACCCAGGAGCCAAGUGCUUUUCCUGGUCUCCCAUGGGGUGCAGGGCCCAAGCACCUGGGCCAUCCUCCACUGCACUCCCUGGCCACAGCAGAGAGCUGGCCUGGAAGAGGGGCAACCGGGACAGAAUCCGGCGCCCCAAUUGGGACUAGAACCCGGUGUGCCGGCGCCGCUAGGCGGAGGAUUAGCCUAGUGAGCCGCGGCGCCGGCCCCCUGGCCCCAGAAUUUUACGUGUAGGAUAUCUUACAGAUAAGACUGGCACAUGGGGAUUUUCCAGUCAUCACAUUUGUAAUAUAACCAACGAAUGUAAACAAUGACAUAUACAAAGAGGAGGCAAGCUAAACAAGCAUGGCAAAUCCAUAUUCUGUGGCAGUGAAAAAGAAAGAAGGGGAUUUUAUGCACUGAUGUGGAAGGAUCUCCAGGAUACCUCAUUAAGUGAAAUUGAAGUACAGAACAGUAAAAGUAAAACAAGUGUCCAACGUCAUUUAACCCCUGAGUACUUGUUUCCAGACUGCCUCUCUGGAAGCAUGCCCUAAAAUCUGGGAACAGGCGUUGCUUCCUUUCUACAAGAUAAUUUUUAGUCACAACUGAGAAUUUUUUUACUAUGUUUGUAACUUUAUAAAUAUAUAUAUAUUAUCUUUAAUUGCUUUUGAAGUCUUCAUUGUUAAAGAUUUAUUUAUUUAUUUGAAAGGCAGAGUUACAUACAAAGAGAAAAAUUUUCCAUCCACUGGUUCACUCCCCAAAUGACUGCAACAGCUGGUUCUGAGCCAGGCCAAAGACAGGAGCCUGCAAUUCCAUCUGGGUCUCUGUCUACCCACGUGGGUGGCAGGGGCCCAAGUACUUGAGCCAUCUUCUGCCACAUUCCCAGGCGCAUUAACAGAGAAGUGAAGUAGCUGGGGGGGGAGGGGGAGCCAGCACCGGACCCUCCAUUCCCUUUCUUUCUCCUGUUGCCUUCUCUGCACUUCCUUCUCCUCCCUUCUUCUUUUCUAUUCUUACAAACACUUCCCAUUUCCUCCUCAUAGUCACUUGUCUGUUCCUUUCUUUUUCUCCUAGCCUUAACGUUGCACGUGUCUUCUGUAGGAGGAAGCUUUUAUUCUGAGAAAAGUGGAGCUCCCUCUGUAAAGCUUACGGUGCCCCUGUCCUGUGGGAGAUGAAUGCAGCUGCUGGCAGAAAAAUGGCAACAGUGGGCACGGGCAGUUUCCUGGACAAGAGUCCUGCAUUGCUGAGCAGAAGUGAACCACGAGGCCCUUUCUGUGGUACAGCAGCUGUCUGGUUUCAACGUCACUAGCAUGACAGGUAGCAGCGAGCAGUAUGGACAUAAGAUGUCAUGACAGACGAAGCUGUCCAUUACCGAGAUAUCACAGAACGUAGUUGUUCUGAUGGAGGCACUUCUGAGGGUGGAGGUCAUGCCGGGCGGCAGGCUCAGAGCAGGACUGUUCAGCCUGCUGGCUCUGUGGUCACCCCAAUCGUAAGCACGCCAGACAAAGGAGAGUACUUACCAGUGACGUCUCUGGAACUGUACGGAUGAGCAUCUGCAGAGGAGAGAGAACAGCCGAGUCUGGGCUGCAGUCCUUAAGGUACUAGUUUCUCACGGAGCCCAAGAAAUUUGGGAUAUCUUGGCUCCCAUCUUAGAACCUUGGGAGACCCACCAGUAGCAUCACCAAAAUCAUUUCAGCCAAGAACACGCAGGAAACUCGCUGAGGUGCUGGGACAUCCUUCCGAAUUGGGCAAGACCUAAAGCAGGCCCAGAAUCCCAAGAGCUUCUCUACCCCACAGACAAUGUCUCCAGAUGGCAGAAUGUGUCCAUCACCCUCCCAUGGGGGUACAGUUCAGAUGGGUGUUCAGAGCUGUGCCAUGGGCUCUGCUGGGCAGCUUAAUAAGGUUGGCCUCAUCGCACUGCGGAGGUGGAUUUUUCUUUUCCAGUUUUCCCAGCUGGACUAAGCCAGGCAGAAAGUGCACACCACGGGGAACAGAAACCAGGCAAAGGGGGCUGUGGCAGAUGCAGAAGGCAGCAAGGCUGCUAGGUCAGUGCUGACUCUGGACUGAAUGGUGCAAGAUCCCUACCCAAAUCUCAGAAGCAGGAUGUGGGGAACCGGCCUGUCGCCAUGCAAAGCUAGUGCUAACCUGUUGUCUCGUGGGAGGUGGAGGGCGUGGGUUCCAAGGUCUUUGUUGUUGUCUGAGAUGGGGCUUGGGAGGACUCAUGACUGCCUACCCCCGUGGUUCCUGUGGAAGGUGACGUGGAUGGCAUCAGCUGGGAGCCUGGUACAAUAGCUGUCCCUGUGGCCACUGUGGUGUCUGACUCUGGAGAGAAUGUGGCUGGGCCUGCAGGAGAUUUCAAGAUGGUGAGAACACAAGUAUUUAGACUGGAGUCCUCUGAGUUCCAGCAGAUGGGGAGUCUCAGGACACACUCCAGGGAGCCCACCCCCCAGCCCUGCCCCAGCAUGAUGCCCCCCUUCAGUGGUGACACAUCCAUGGCGAUGGGGCUUAUCAGUUACUUUUCAUGGUGCAUAUAUAGGAAGAACCCUAAAGAGCUGCAUAUUCAAGCUUGCUGCCUAGAGGAGACAUUCACAUGCUCAAAGACGUAGCUCAAAAACACAAGGGAGGCUGGCGUUGUGACGUAGCAUGUAAGCGUGUAAAGCUGCCAUCUGCAUCCCACAUGGGCACCUGUUCAAGUCCCAGAUGCUCCACUUCCAAUCCAGCUCCCUGCUAACAUGCCUGGGGAAACAGAAGAAGGUGGCCCAAGUGCUUGGGCUGCUGCACCCAUGUGGGAGACCCAGAUGCAGCUCCUGGCUCCUGGCUUUGGCCUGGCCCAGCCCUGUCCCUUGUGGCCAUUUGGGGAAUGAGCCAGUGGAUGGACUUGUGUUUGCCAAAAAACUAAGAUUCUGGUUUUCUUUUUUACAUGUUGGCAAACACUUUUUGAAAUAUGGGGAAGCCUGAGAUUUGGCUUGUCUGAACUCAGUGGUGUGUAUUUGAGGGAUAUAUCCUGAUUUAGCUUCGGUCUCAGGGAGGGAGACUGCCUUGCCCCUUCUUGGCGGAUGGCUGCCCCUAUACUGUUAAGUAAGGUGUGGCAUAGCUGUUUCCUAUCUUGUCUCCAUGGCAACUGGGUCUUCUGACAGAUACAGAACUUAGAAAAUACAGCCUUAGAGCAAAGCACCUGGUGAGGCCAAGCAUCACAAUGCUCUUGACACGUGAUUGAAGCCUGUGUCCCCAUCCUCUCCCAGCCACCUACAUGGUGAGAGGUCCCCUACAAUUAACCCUUCGUUACGGCCUCACAUGCCCCUCACCUUACUCUAGCUGUCAGCACUCCAGGGUCCCCCGCAUCUAGAGUCCCCCCCAGACCAAGCAUUCACAUCCAAGCAUGCGCUCACAUCAGUCUGUAUCAAAUGUUCCUCUCACAGCCGAGCUUCCAGCUGCACAGUUUGAUCUCAGCAAAGGACAUCUGACCAAGUGAUUGGGACACAGAUGCAAGGCUAGGAGUGGUGACUUGGUGAUUAUCUGAUUUAUUGGGCAAAUCAAAAGUGACUCUGUUUGCUCCCAAUUAUAAAACAUUCGGGUUCCCUGAGCCCAGGUUUCUCCUCCCAGAGUGUAACCCACUGGACAUCUGGGCAUCUAUUCAGGCCCAUCCACAUUGCUUCUGUGAGAAAUAAAGAAGUUGAUGCGAACAUGCUAAUGAUCCUGCUGCUUGCUAUGCCACAUAUAAAUGAGCCACACUGUCUCUUCUCCAGGAGUAUUAUGUUUUCUGCCAACACCCAUAAAACUGUGGCAGGCUAACGUGGUACAAAUGAGAUCACAUCUCAGGCUGUUUCCAGUUCGUGAUAAGGAUAAGUGUCUACAACUAAGCAUAAUUUGAUAUAUUAACAGUGAGUUUUAAACCACUAUUCAUUGUGCACAUAUGAAAUCUAGACAUCAAGCAACUCUGAUUUUAAAAAGAAAAUUAGAGCCACUAUAAAUUCUGACUCCUGUCCUCAACAAAGAGUCUGUUCUGUUACCUACGUUGGCAGCAGAAAAGCAGCUGGGUCCUUGAAUGUUCAGGAUUCGGGGGUGGGGAGCUGGGUGGUAGUAGGGAAUGGGAAUCUUUAAAAAGUUUCCUGUGUUCCUACCUUUUCCAGAAGGGGAGGGGCUCUCUGGCUGUGGGGUCACCCUUGCCGUCACUACAGUGGAGGGUGGCACUGGCCUUUGGUGAGUCAGGGAGGGGUCUCCUGGAGAGAGGAUAACCACAUGGCAUUUACGAUCCUGAGGGUGGUACUUGGGGGUGGCUUCAGAACUGGAUAUACAUUUUAAAAACCUAAAUAUACAAUGGAGAUAUCUAACUUCCUAAGUCGGAUUCAAAGUUCAGGAAAUAAACAGCAGUGUUUUCCAAUCCAAAUGCAAAGACAGAUAGCAAACUUUAUUUAUUUUUUUAAGAUUUAUUUUAUUUGUUUGAAAGGCAGAGUUAGACACAGAGAGGGAGAGGAAAACAGAGAGAGGUCUUCCAUGUGCUGGUUCACUCCCCAAAUGGCCACAAUGGCCAGAGCUGGGCCAGAUCAAAGCCUGAAGCCAGGAGCUGUCUCUGAGUCUCCCAUGUGGGUGGAGGGACCCAUUGGCCAUCUUCCACUGCCUCCACAGGCACAUUAGCAGGGAGCUGGCUCAGAAGUAGAACAGCCGGGACUUGAACUGACACCCAUAUGGCAGGUCAGCAUUACAGGUAGCAGCUUUAACCCAUUAUGCCACAACACCCCAGCAAACUUUAUUUGUAGCAUUUCCAAAAAAAAAAAAAAACUACACAACUAAGGCAUCAAAUUUAUUUUUGGCUGGAACAGUAUUAAUGAUAUUAACUCAGUUUUACAACAUUGGAUUUUCAUGGGACAGUAAACAAUUACUCAAUAGAUUCUGUUUGUUUAGAAUGAAAAAUCAGGGGCCAGGGCAUAGCAGGUAAAGCCACUACCUGUGAUGGCGAUAUCCCAUAUGGGCUCCAGUGCAAGUCCCUGCUGCUCCACUUCUGAUGUAGCUCCCUGCUGAGGUACCUAAGAAAGCAGUGGAGGAUGGCCCAAGUGCUUGGGCCCCUACACCUGCAUGGGAGACCAGGAAGAAGCACCUGGCUCCUGGCUUUGGAUUGGUGCAGCUCCAGCCGUAGCAGCCAUUGGGGGAGUGAACCAACGGAAGGAAGACCUUUCUCUUUGUCUCUCUCUCACUGUCUAUAACUCUACCUGUCAAAUAAAAAAAAAAAAUCAUUCAAAGCACAAGAGGCUGGGAAAAACAAUGAUUGAAGGGAGUUGGUGGUAAAAAAAAAAUGGAGGAAGCUCUGAACUAGGUGAAACCUAACUGGACUACAAGGUGUCUUCUUCCCUUCCCAUCUGCCUGGUUCAGAGCCUACAGCUCCACUCCUUAAUAGAUUCAUUCACCCAAAUGACACAGAGCUUUAUGGAAAUGUAACUUUCCUUACAGUGGAAAGGCCCUUAUUUUUGUCCUUGAAUUACAGGUUCCAGUGGGUCCCAGGACAGGACAGAGUCAGAGAUCCGCUCGGGGUUCCCACAGUUACCCAGCCUCACCUGGCUCCUCUAUUCAGUUCUACCCAGUGCCACAGGGAGCUUGAUUCCUCAGCUGGAUGAUUCCUCGAUAUGAGUGGAAGGGCUUCCUGCUUCCCUUCCCUGUGACUUCUGUUCUGAAGAGAAGGAUGGGGGAGAAGGGCUAUCUACCACUACACAUCCCAUGAGAAAGUGUGGCUCUUUGAGGGAUCCUCCAGCAGAGUGAGUUCGCUAUGGGACAGUCCCCUCCCAGCCCCUGCCCCAUACAGGAGUUCAGAAUGCUCGCCAAUGUUAUACAAAUUUGAGAAAGCAUCUAGCUCACUGCUAGACAGAGCCAAGACUCAUUAAGUCAGGGCAUGGGUCAAUCUUUACUUUUCUAGAGGUGGGAAGGGAGGAGUAGAAGUGGAGCUUAGUAUUCAUGGAAAUAGCACCUAGUGGCUUCCACCUCAACAGCAUUUGGCUUCUUUUAGCAUGUCUGUCCAGUUGUAGACUGUUUUUAGGGGAAAACUUGAGAACUGUAAGAUACCAUACACAGUGACUAAGCUAAGGGAAACAUUGCUGCACAGGUCUGUUCCAGUCCUUGGGAUUGAGCAAUAAUGGGAAAAACAGCAAUAGUUUCCCUGCAGUCUCCUUCCUUGGGAAAAAAACAAACAAACAAACAAACAAACACUAAACUCCCUGGAAAGCAAGUGUGCUUGUAAGCACGUAUCCUUUCUGUAACCCAAAUCCUUGCUACCAUAAAUCUCAAAGCAAGCAUUCACAGUAGUGUCAGUUCAUAUGUACCACUGAAUCCUCAUACAACCUGCAGUGUGAACAUGGGGUUCAUUUCCUAGAAGACCAUCCAGAGCUCCAAGAGAUUAAGGGCCUUCCCUGAGACCUCACAGGUACGAAAUGGCAGAGCCAAUUGUGAACCCAGAAUUGUGUGACCCAAACACCCAUGUGUCUACAACUGAAGAAGGUGUUUUUCAGUGUCCCAUUGGUGUUUAGCCUCCGACUUCAACACAGAGAAGUGUGUUGGCCCUGAGAUGGACUCAUCUGGCCCCAUACUGCAUCUCUGCUCUUUGUGUGGCCUUGGCGGGGUGAAGAAGGACAAGAGUAGGAACUGGAUACUUACUGAUGCACUUGAGAUUGGGAGUUGUCCAGUAGGCAAUGUUUGUGGUUUUGUUAAACACACACUCCGUCAGGCUGGAUGUCCCGGCUUUACGCUUGAAACCUGAGUUACAAACAUACCGCUCCCUGGAGCUCAAGUUGUAACUCUUGACCCGGAUGGCUGCAUGUUCAACAGAUGUGGGCGUGGGGCAUGUGACACCUAUAGAAGUGCAGAUGAGAAGGAACAGAUAAAAAGAUUUCAGCUUGCCAAGAGCAGAUCUCCAGGUACAGCCAACAGUCAAUAAUAGUAUAGCCAAGGUCAAGGCUUAUCCAAGGGGCCCCUCAGGGUAGACCCCAGGAUCCAAGCAUGUAGGAGAUGUUCUGGAAGGGUAUCUCACUGUCUAGAGACCUUCCAGGAGCCACCCUGCAUAGCUACAGACAAGAGAGUCACCAGUGACGUCCCCUCCCUGUCACCCUCCAGUUCCCAUCCAUCCCCAAAUCCUCAGGGUCGCCCCAAGCAUCCAGCUCUCUCCACUCUGCACUAAGCCUCCGGGCCCUCCUGCUGAGCAAGAAGAGCUUCCAGACCAGUCUCCCGAGAGACUUCAACCCAUGUGCACCAGGCAGCCAGCAUGACCUGUCAUGCAUAUUUGAUACCAUCACUUUCCCUGGCUUUCCCCUGCUCGUAUUUGUAGGAUAAAGACUGACAUCCCUAAGAAGUCUCGGAGAGUCUGCCUGAUUUGGCCCCAUCUACCUCUCCAGCUCUCUUCCUCCUGGCCACUCUGGUCUGGGUUUCCCCUGUGCUACUCACUAUCCGUCCACCCUACACAACCCACAACCACCUUCCUGGCUGGUUACUAUUGCCAACCCUCCUUCCCAGCUUAUGGCACGAGCAUUUCCCUUAGUUCUUAAAAGGAGAGGUGGCAACCAACAUUUCAAACCAAGGUUGUUGGCCCAUGCUUGUUUAAGAUGAGGUUCUAUCUGAUGCCAGAAAACUCCAUUGUAGCUGAUGUUAAAAAGCAGUUUUUCUUUAGCCACUACAAAUAACUGUUAUGAUUUUUACUAUUUUUCUCAUUGAUGUAACACAUGUUAGGUCUUCUCACAUGUAGAUGAGAUGAGCAGGAAUUGGUAUUUGAGGCCAAGCACCACCCCGGGUAUGGAAGGGGCUACCAGUAGGUUGUGUUGGAGGGAGAUUCCUGUGCAGUGAGUUUUUGGUGCUUGGAAAACAUGUAUAAAUGCUGAGUCAUUCACCAGCUGAGAUGCUGGCCAGAGGCCACCACUUGGCUUAACCACAUCAGUUGAAAAACAUAAAAAUCCAUGGGCUGCCUAUAGCUGCCUGAGAACCUGGAUAUUUGGUUCCAGAUUGGAAAACCGCCAAAAAUAAUCUCUGCUGAGCAAGCCGCUGGUGCCAUAGCAGGUGGGAAGGGUGGGACUCAGACGAAAGAACUGAGCUAAAAGCAUUUUUCUGUUCAUGUGGGGAGACCACAGAAGAGGCCAAACACAGUGGCUGCACCGGCCAGGAAAGGACUCCUAGUGGCCUCUAUGCAAAUAGUGGCCCAUGGGCCAACCCUGCCUGCUAACCUAUUUUUGUAAAUCAAGUUUUACUGGCGCAUGGCCUCAUUCAUUCAUUUAAGUCGUGUUGAUGCCAGCUUUCACACUGCAGUGGCAGAGCAGAUGUGGUGAACUGAUUUUAAAUCUAAAAUAAAAUAUUUAUUCAUUGCCCAGUGCUUUCUAGAAAAAGUGCUCAUUUAUGUUCUAGAUAGCCUUUAAACAAAUCAUUGCCUUUGUAGGUAAAACCAAUUGCAUAGUCAAUCAGCACAGUGUACAGGAGACCGAGAGUGAUACAGCCCACAUAAAAAUGAAAACCUUUCUGCAUAUCAAAAUCCAACCUAAGUUAAAGACAAAUGACCAAAUGACAAAAAAAAAAUUACAUCUCAUAGUGUACUUCCAUAAGGCUAAUUCUUCUCAUAUGUUAAGAGCUCUUAAAAAUCAGUAUAAAGUCCACUAAUCCCAUAGGAAAGCAUAAAAAGAUAUAAACAGGACAUUCACAGCAGAUAGCAGCCCUUAUAAAUAUAUAAAAAUCUGUUCAACCUCAUUCAUAAUCAAAGAAAUGUGGGGGCCAGUGCUGAGUUGUAGUGGGUAAAGCUGUGGAGCUGACAUCCCAUAUGGAUGCUGAGUCAAGUCCCAGGUGCUCCAUUUCUAAUCCAGCUCCCUGCCAAUCUGCCUGGGAAAGCACCAGAAGAUGGUCCAAGUGCUUAGGCACCUGUACCCAUGUGGAAGACCUGGAAGAAGCUCCUGUCUUCUGGCUUCAGCCUGUCCCAGCUCUGGGCAUUGUGGCCAUUUGGGGAGUGAAUUAGCAGGUGGAAGAUUUUUCUCCCUCAGUCUCUCUGGAACUCUGCCUUUCAUAAAAAAAACUAUUUUAAAAAAAUGAAGGAAAUGUAAAAUAAAAACUAUAUGAGAUAUCACUUAUCAGCUGUGAGAAGAGCUAAAAGUUCAGUCAUAUACUAUGCUGGUCAUCUAUUAUGUUCAUAAGGCUUGCACAACCCUACUGAGGCCAUAUCUUCAAUCUCUUUAUAGAGAUUACAGAUGCACCUGCUUUCUGACCUGACAGUUCUACUUCUAUGACUCUGUCAUACAGAUUUAUCUGCAUAUUUGUGAAACAUUGUUAUGACACACCCUGUAAACUAGCAAGUCUAUUUAUAAGAAUCUAAUUUACAGAUACGCUGGCACAUUUGUGAAGUGAGUAUGUACAAAGUUAUUCAUUAUCGUAUCCAGUAUCUGUAAAUAACCUUGUAUGUAGUCAGGAGGUGACUCAUCAAGCAGAUUACAGUACAAACACACAAUGAUGUACCACCUAGCUUUGCCAAACACACUAAGAAAACCCUUUGAGCAUUGAAGUGGAGAGACCACCAAUACACAGUUAAGCUUAAAAGAAAAGCAGAAUGCUGUGUACUGUAUGCUACUAGCAGAGAAUAAAGGAGAAAUAAAACCUAUACAUAAGUUUUUUUUUUUUUGGUCUGUACAUAAAGUCUCUGAAAGGAUACACAAGAAACUCAGCAAUAGGGCCAAGGCAGCUGAGAAAGAUAAAUGGAGGCCUUUUUACCUUUGAAUUUUUCAAUGGUACAAACACUUUGCCUAUUGAAAAUGCAUUUGGGAGUUUUUGUAAUGCCCUGUUUCUUUUCAUUUUUGUCAAUUUACAUAUUUUAUUUACUCAAAAAGAAGAGAGACAGAUAGAAUUUCCAUUGCUUGUUCACUCUCCAAAUAUCCACAACAGUGGGCGCUGGGCAAGGCCAACACCAGAAUCUUGGAACUGAAUCUGAGCACCCAAAUGGGUGGCACGGACUCAACUACUUGAGUCAUCACUGGUGCCUCCCAGUGUGCACCUUAGCAGGCAGCUGGAGUCAGGACCCAAACCCAGGCACUCUAAGAUGGGGUACGGGCACCCUAAGCAGUGUUUUAACCACCAUACCAAUGCCCUCCCUGUAAACUCUGCAUCUUCAUCUGAUUUGUACCUGUGUAUUUAUUAUCCUUUUUUAUCCAUGACAUUCAUUAUGGCGUAAAAAUCAAAAUGUUUACCAGUGUCCCUUUCAGACUGACCAGACAGAAUAGAUGUUGGUGCUAAUUUGGACCAGGCUGGGUGACCACCAGCUACAAAUGAGAGGAAGGACCAUACUGAAGAGGAAGGGCUGUGGUUCAGCCAUCUGUAUGUUAAGACGGUUCUAAGUAUUCUAACUACUUCAUAUUAAUAAUAAUAAUAAUAAUAAAAGCUAGAGUGGAUUUUAGGGUAUCUUCCCACAGGAGAUCAGAAACCUUGGUUAGGCCUAGGGCAACACAGGAAUAAAUUAUGCUAACAGUGGGUGUUUAUUGUCAAAUAAACGUGAGAAAUGCAGAAGAUCCUUGAAUUAGGAGUUCUUGCCUUUUUCUGAGCCAGUUACAGCUGUUCAGAUUAAAAAAAAAAAAAGCCAAAAAA
Oryctolagus cuniculus (rabbit) is the source of this 20054-nucleotide non-coding RNA. NCBI's taxonomy places the organism in Eukaryota, Metazoa, Chordata, Mammalia, Lagomorpha, Leporidae. The record is from RefSeq and is a predicted model, not a curated record.